Dermacentor albipictus is the source of this 586-nucleotide non-coding RNA. The record is from RefSeq and is a predicted model, not a curated record. NCBI's taxonomy places the organism in Eukaryota, Metazoa, Arthropoda, Arachnida, Ixodida, Ixodidae.
CGCGAUCCAGUGUUGACGCUGUUCUACUUCAUACAGUCGGCUCGGAAACCUGUAACACUUCGUUCCUGAUCGCGGCGCGGCGGCGGAAGCGGGCGUUGCAGCGCCAUUGGGGAAGUCGAGGUGGUUCACGUUGCGGCUUCCUCAACUAUGCUUCUCUUCUCCGCCCGUCACCGCAAGAACUCUGGACGUUCUCUCUUUGGUGUGCUCGCAUGCCACGGACUGUGUGCGACCCAUUUGCAGCCAUGUCUCAUUGUAAGACAGGUUGAUUUGAUUUGAGGACACACCGCUUUCUCCCUGCAUAAUCGCAGCAGGUGAUGACAUCUGGAUGCCUGAAGAGUACCUAUUGCUUGUUGAUGGCCAUGUUGUGGCAGCAGCAAAGAUGUUCAAGCAAGCAUUCCGCAUGCUGUUUGCAGCUUACUGCUGCUUCCACAUUUGUUAUGCAGAGAAGGCGUCAUGCACACUUGAAUUCAUACAAAGCAUGGACUAGUUGACCACACGCAGGGAUACUUUUUCGUCUGCCAAGCAGCCCAGAACCUUACAAUGCGAACUACAGAAAUGGUUCCCUUUCACCAAGUCAUCUACAUAA